GCUCUGUGUUGGAGAGAGGAGACAGCACAGGUGGGUGGUCAGCAGAAAGGUCUGGACAUCCCAGCCUAUCUGCUCCAUCCCCGUCCCCCACACUGGUCCCCGCCCCCCCUCUAUUAACGCUGGCUCUGCCCAAGCACGGCAACAGGACACAUUUCAUUUCGUCCAAGACGUGUAACAUCUCAUAAGCUUUACUCCUGGGCUUGAGAUCAGGAGGGGACCAGCUGGCUUGAGAACAGUUCAUUCGGAAAGACCUUAAAGGCCUCCAGACACAACAAUGGUGACGACAGGUACGAUGACGUGGCGGUGACUGUCCAGGAACUGCGCUCAGUGCCACACCACAUGGCUUCGCCCCAUCUCAUAAAAAGCCUGAAAGUUAGUGUCAGGGAGGUUAGGGGACCUGCCCAAGGCCACCUGGCCUGGCAAGCGACAGAGCUGGGGCCCCCAGAGACAUCUGCCACCGACGCCCAUCCUCGAGAUGAAAAUGAGACGUUAGUGGGAGGAAGGAUGCCUCAAAUGACCCAAACCAACCACAGUUGGUGGCAUUACAGCCUAAAAAAUGCUUUCUGAUACUUCAUCUCAUAUCAGAGUUGGGGAAACUGAGGUUUGGAGAAGCAAAGUGCCCGACCCAGUUGGCAGAGCUGGGAAGGCGAGGAGUCGGGACUCUCACUCCAUCUGAUGCUGGGUACACUGGCCACAACGCAAAGGUCCUAAGGCUGUGAGGAUGCAGAGGACCCAGAAUCUGGCAGGGUCAUCCCCCCCCCCAAGCUGGACAACGCAUAGGUCCCCAGGAGCUCUGUGGUCAGCUUUGGGUGCCAUGGCUCCAGAGGCACCCAGCCCCCUCCCGAGAAUCCCAUUGAGGCAGCAGGAUGGGGAGGGGCCAGCAGGAACCAGGAACCAGGUUCCAGAGGAACCAGGACUGCAGAGCGUAGACAGGACACAGCUGUCACAUGGGGAGGGCUGGGAGGCAGCCCAGAGAUGGGUUUAAGGGUACAGACACUGAGCCAGGCCACCCCUGGGGUCAAGUCCCACUCACCAGCUGGGUGACCCUGGCCAAGCGUGCCUCCAUAUGCUCAUGCAUAAAAGGCGGAUGCUAAUAGCACCUGCCUUGUGGGGGGAUGGUGUAAGGAUUAAAGAAGUGAACAGGUGCACAACGCUUACAACACGACCGGGCAUCUAGCAAGAGCCCCAUCAAAGUUGGACAUGACCAUCGCUGCUGUUACUUCUAUCACAACGUAGCACGGAGGGCGAAAGCACAGCCCUGGCGUCCCAGAGACGUGAGUUCAAAUCUCAGCCCUCCUCUCUGGCUGCUCUAUGGCACCCGACGCGUGGCUCCACCUCUCGGUGCCUCCACUCCCCCGUCUGUAAAUAGGGAUAAUAGCAUCCAACUCACAAGUAACUGAGGGAGGUAAAUCAGCCUGUUCGUCUACCCUACAAAUGUAUAUCAAGAGCCUCCUGGCAAAGCGCCCCACAGCCUUCCAGGCAGGUGUCAUUAUCACAUGAUCCAUAUUCCCCACGCGGACAGUGGUGAGACAGCGGUGCAAGUUACAAGGAAUCGGAUUUUUCUAGUAACUGUCCAAGGAGAUGAGCAGGGAAGAGUGGUAGUGAGCUCCCCGGCCCUGAACCGUAGCAGAGAUUCCUGCACUGAUGGGCCCCUGGGCUCUAAGGAACCAAAUCACACAGAGAUAGGCAGAGAGGGGACCCUCCAGCCCAGGUGUGCGACCAAGAGGCCCAGCUCCACAGCUUCAUCCCUCCCCCGCCCAGAGCUCACCCCUCUCCUACCCUGCAGGAAGACAGGAGCCUCCAGCCACCCUGAGGGAGCAGGCGUCACAGCGCCCCCUUGAGGGGAGAUGCCUCCGGUGCGGCAGCCGAGGGGCUUCCCACCCUUCCUCUUCUCUGCCCAGAGCCCAGGAUUCCUGCAGCCACUGGAGAGGGCAGGGGUCACCUCCUCCUGCCUCCCACCUCCUCUGCGCUCCUCCUGCCGCUCGCUCCGCUAGGAGUUAUGAUCUCUCACAUUCUGGAAGCUCCCAACAUCACUCCUCCCCCAGGAGACCAGAGAGCUGGAGGCACCGCCGCAUUUCACAGGUGAGGAAACCCAGGCCCAGAGAGGAUGAGUUACUUGGCCCAAAUCACCCAAACGGUCAAUGUCAGAGCGAAGACUGAAGACGCCUAGUUCCGUGCUCUUCAGCCAUGAGAGCAGAAGAGGAGGGGGAGGCCUCACUGACUGUGAGGGGGCCUCUGUGCUAGGAGGAGGGCUCCCCUCUGGAGUUUCCUAAGGUUGCCAUCAAGCCGUGGCUUGGAUGCCUUUAGUGACAGGGUGCUCACUACCUCAUGAGGAAACCCGCCGCUUUCUUGCACAGCCCUGAUUGGUAGAAGGGCUUUCCUAACCAGCCUGGUCUCAGCCUUCAAGAUGUUUCUUUCCCUUUGCUUCCAUCUCCUAGGGAUGCAGACAAUUUAAAGGUUGGGGAGUAUCCAAGGGCACCUCGGCAAGGCUCAUGAAUGCAGCUAACACAAGCCCGUGCCUUGGCAAGGGAGGGCCUUUCUCCAGUUCAUACAAAGGGGUCAUGUGAGAGAGCUGGGGCCCUGUCCCUCACGCCUCCGUUACACAGGCCACGGUUCUGUGCUUUUGUGACCCACCUCUCCGUGUCCCCCACUGGGCAGCAGGUACCUCGGGGGCACACACUCGAUCCUAUUCAGCUCGCUAUCAGGACACUUGGCACAGACAUCAGAUUGGUCGAUUCACAGUGCGGUUCCUGUACCUUCUCCACUGCCUCUGCCCCACCCCCUGGAGCUCUGAGAACACAACCUAUUUCUCCCCCCAGGCCAGGCCUUUAAGGAUUGAAGAUGGGGGCCAUUGGAGCAGGAGAAGCAACCCCACAGCUGUGCUCAGGGAUGGUACAUGGGCUACUUCCCUCUCUGUGCCCUUCUGGAUGCUCUCCCAGGUGCCCUCCCAGGUGCCCUUCCAGAUGCCCUCCCAGGUCCUCCCAGGUGCCCUCCCAGAUGCUCUCUCAGGUGCCCUCCCAGGUGCCCUCCCUGAUGCCCUCCCAGGUGCCCUUCCAGAGGCCCUCCCAGGUGCCCUCCCUGAUGCCUUCCCAGGUGCCCUCCCUGAUACCCUCCCAGGUGCCCUCCCUGAUGCCCUCCCAGGUGCCCUCCCAGAUGCCCUCCCAGGUGCCCUCCCUGAUACCCUCCUAGGUGCCCUCCCAGGUGUCUUUCCAGAUGCCCUCCCAGGUGCCCUCCCUGAUGCCCUCCCAGGUGCCCUUCCAGAUGCCCUCCCAGGUGCCCUCCCUGAUGCCCUCCCAGGUGCCCUUCCAGAUGCCCUCCCAGGUGCCCUCCCUGAUACCCUCCCAGGUGCCCUUCCAGAUGCCCUCCCAGGUGUCUUUCCAGAUGCCCUCCCAGGUGCCCUCCCAGAUGCCCUCCCAGGUGCCCUCCUAGGUGCCCUCCCAGGUGUCUUUCCAGAUGCCCUCCCAGGUGCCCGCCCUGAUACCCUCCCAGGUGCCCUUCCAGAUGCCCUCCCAGGUGCCCUCCCUGAUGCCCUCCCAGGUGCUCAGGCGGCACGGCCCCAUGGUUACCUUCAU
This is a long non-coding RNA of Panthera uncia (snow leopard), 3572 nucleotides long. RefSeq lists it as uncharacterized. The transcript has 3 exons. The record is from RefSeq and is a predicted model, not a curated record. Lineage: Eukaryota; Metazoa; Chordata; Mammalia; Carnivora; Felidae.